This 877-nucleotide ribosomal RNA is filed under the name uncultured eukaryote. RNAcentral's name for it is "SSU rRNA". It matches the Rfam family "Eukaryotic small subunit ribosomal RNA", at positions 636 to 1469 of the family's 1831-position model. The record is from RNAcentral.
CGGUGUUCAACUGGCGUGUCCGCGGGACGUCCUGCCGGUGGGCUUAGCCCGCAAGGGCGGCCCAACUUCAAAUCCCAUCGCGGUGCUCUUCACUGAGUGUCGAGGUGGGCCGGCACGUUUACUUUGAACAAAUUAGAGUGCUUAAAGCAGGCUAAAACUUCGCCUGAAUACUGUGUGCAUGGAAUAAUGGAAUAGGACCUCGGUUCUAUUUUGUGGGUUUUCGGAACCCCGAGGUAAUGAUUAAUAGGAACGGAUGGGGGCAUUCGUAUUGCGACGUUAGAGGUGAAAUUCUUGGAUCGUCGCAAGACGGACAGAAGCGAAAGCAUUUGCCAAAAACGCUUUCAUUGAUCAAGAACGAAAGUUAGAGGUUCGAAGGCGAUCAGAUACCGCCCUAGUUCUAACCAUAAACGAUGCCAGCUAGCGAUCCGUCGACGUUCCUCCGAUGACUCGACGGGCAGCUUCCGGGAAACCAAAGCUUUUGGGUUCCGGGGGAAGUAUGGUUGCAAAGCUGAAACUUAAAGGAAUUGACGGAAGGGCACCACCAGGAGUGGAGCCUGCGGCUUAAUUUGACUCAACACGGGAAACCUCACCAGGCCCGGACACCGGAAGGAUUGACAGAUUGAGAGCUCUUUCUUGAUUCGGUGGGUGGUGGUGCAUGGCCGUUCUUAGUUGGUGGAGCGAUUUGUCUGGUUAAUUCCGAUAACGAACGAGACUCUAGCCUGCUAACUAGGCGUAUUUUCGACAUCUCAAAGGUCCGUCGUCCCGGCCCUCGGGUCGUGGGCGUGCGCGAUUUUUACUGUCGGCGUACUAUCAAUUCUUCUUAGAGGGACAGGUGGCUUCUAGCCGCACGAGAUUGAGCAAUAACAGGUCUGUGAUG